Molecule: long non-coding RNA, 2051 nt
Filed under: Homo sapiens (human)
Lineage: Eukaryota; Metazoa; Chordata; Mammalia; Primates; Hominidae
Description: HSALNT0131805
Source: RNAcentral
UGGAAGGGUAAUGCAUUCCUGCUAAAUCAUGGACAAAACGGGCUUCCAGGAGCUACAGGCCCCUGCAGCAGCAGCUUCUCCUCUACGUCCUUCACUGCCUCAAACUGUUGUUGACUUUGAAAGCUUCUUUCAGUCUAGUUUUAUCAACAGAGCUAGUAUUUCAUGAGGUUCUACUACAUACCAGGUUCCAGAAAGCUAAAUGCCUUUUGUUAUUAUUCACUAAAUACAAAUCACAACUCUCUCCUCAUUACUCACACAACAAAAUUUAGCUGAGGGAGAUUGAGUGACUUUCCCAGGGUCACAUAGCUACUAAGAGCAGAGUCGUGUUUAGAUUCAUGUGGGAAUAUUGAACACAGAAAUGAACCAGUGGAAACAUCCUAUGUUCCAAAAGCCUACUCAAGGCAUUUCUUCUUAUUUUAAGGAAAAUCUUUAUGCUAAUUUUAAACUCCAAAUACUUAUGAAUGGCAGAGAUCUACAGAUUUGAUUCUGAUGUAAGAAAUGAUGGUCACCAGCUGGUUACUGCUACCACCCCACAACCCCGAGCAUACUGGACGAAUGUCUAAGCCUUGUGGUUAGUGGGGACAAUGCUGGUGGAGUCUGAAGUUGUCAUGCAGUGACUCAUGCAAGCUUAGGCAGAUUUGGUAAUAUAUGACACAGAGAUGCAAAGAAAUGUUGUAGCUGACACACACAGGCUGGCUCUGGGAGAUGCAGAAGGAGCACGUCACCCAAAAUAGAGCCAGACAAGACAUCCUUAAGGAAGGAGCAAAAGGGCUGCAUCUUAAAGAAUGUAGAAAGGAUUUGUCAUGAGAGAUGGGGCAGGAAGUUCUUGAGAGGCAGAGGGAGAGCAUGAGAAUGUUAGGAAGGGAGGAGAGAUUCUCACACAUCUGGGAAGCUGACAAUCCAUCAGCAUGGCCAGAAGGAAAAUAAGGAGGAGGAGCAGAAAUAGAUGAGGCUGGAUAUAGAAGCAGGGCUGAAGCUGUGUCGAUUGUGGUAAAGAGUUGUGAUUCUAUCCAGAACGCAAUAGGUAGCAUUCUAAACAGAGAUCUUUUCAAACAAGAGUCAGCAAGUAUUUUCUGCAGGAGGCUAAAUGUUAAAUAUUUUAAGUUUUCCAAGCCAUAUGGUCUCUCUCUCAAUGACUCAGCUCUUCCAUUAUACCAUGAAAGUAGCCAGAGACAUUAUGUAACACAUGUAUUGGCUGUGUCCUAUUACAACUUUACUUACAAACGCAGACUGUGUCAGACAUGGUCCAUGCAUGGUAGUUUGCCACACCCUGUUUUAGAAAGCUCAGGUUUAUGAUGUGAUGGAGAAUGCCUACAAGAGCUCUUGUUUUAAAUGGUAGAGUGAACAUACACUGGAAUUCUAUCCUGCUUGACCCAAGCUCUUGAUAGCAAAAGGUAGAAAAGAUAGAUGGUAAAUAGAUAGAUAGAUGAUAGAUAAAGAAAAUACAUAGCUGUUCCAGAAAACAGAAAUGGAUAACUUCAUGAACCAAAAGCAGAGUAAUAUACUUUAGAAAGGAAGCGGGCCAGAAAACCCACAGUUGCAAAACAAAUAGAAUUUCCAACUGCCUCUUGUAGCCCCUUCCUGGAAGUAGUCACAGCCCAGGGUGUUUGACUUCUUCCUCUGUUUUUUGUUUGUUUGUUGUUUGCUUUUCUGUGGGGUUUUUGUUGUUGUUGUUUGCUUUUAAAAAAAAAUUCCCUUUCCCUGCUUUUUUGUCACAGCAGCCUUUGUCACUUCAAACACCGCAAGUGUUCUUUAAAAAAAAUUAUAUCAACCUUUCAAUUAAAAUGCAACAUGUCUGAAACUUGGUAUCUGGAGAGGUGAGUUGGACAAAGGAGCCCUUGUUACUGCACGUUUUCAUUCUUCAAAUUUCACCUUGCACACAGUAACAGACAGUGCACAAAGCCACUUCCUUAUGGACGGAAAUUCUGAAAUCCUUUUAUGCCUGGCCUUUCCAUCCUUCAACUUCCCCUCUCCCACGCUGUGAAUGAUUGUAUUGGACAUUUUUGUUUUAAUGUCAGUGACAGGGGAACACAGGUAGCUCUAAUAUAGCU